CUACGGGCCGCUGCAGUGGGGAAUUUUGCGCAAUGGGCGAAAGCCUGACGCAGCAAUACCGCGUGAGUGAAGAAGGCCUUUGGGUCGUAAAGCUCUUUUCUGAAGGAAGAUAGUGACGGUACUUCAGGAAUAAGCACCGGCUAACUCCGUGCCAGCAGCCGCGGUAAUACGGAGGGUGCAAGCGUUGUUCGGAUUUACUGGGCGUAAAGGGCGCGUAGGCGGCAUAGCAAGUUAAGGGUGGAAUCCCGGGGCUUAACUCCGGAACUGCUCUUAAAACUGCUAAGCUAGAGAUAGUCAGAGGCGGGUGGAAUUCCUAGUGUAGAGGUGAAAUUCGUAGAUAUUAGGAGGAACACCGGUGGCGAAGGCGGCCCGCUGGGGCUUAUCUGACGCUAAGGCGCGAAAGCGUGGGGAGCAAACGGGAUUAGAUACCCGUGUAGUC
RNAcentral lists this ribosomal RNA (439 nucleotides) under uncultured bacterium. RNAcentral's name for it is "partial 16S ribosomal RNA". It matches the Rfam family "Bacterial small subunit ribosomal RNA", at positions 339 to 795 of the family's 1533-position model. The record is from RNAcentral.